UCUGAGACACGAAUCCAGGCCCUACGGGGUGCAGCAGGCGCGAAAACUUUACAAUGCUGGCAACAGCGAUAAGGGAACCUCGAGUGCCAGGUUACAAAUCUGGCUGUCGAGAUGCCUAAAAAGCAUUUCAUAGCAAGGGCCGGGCAAGACCGGUGCCAGCCGCCGCGGUAACACCGGCGGCUCGAGUGGUAACCGUUAUUAUUGGGUCUAAAGGGUCUGUAGCCGGCCGGAUAAGUCUCUUGAGAAAUCUGGCAGCUUAACUGUCAGGCUUUCAGGAGAUACUGUCUGGCUCGAGGCCGGGAGAGGUGAGAGGUACUUCAGGGGUAGGGGUGAAAUCUUGUAAUCCUUGAAGGACCACCAGUGGCGAAGGCGUCUCACCAGAACGGACCUGACGGCAAGGGACGAAAGCUAGGGGCACGAACCGGAUUAGAUACCCGGGUAGUCCUAGCCGUAAACGAUACUCGCUAGGUGUCGGCCACGGUGCGACCGUUGUCGGUGCCGUAGGGAAGCCGUGAAGCGAG
This 521-nucleotide ribosomal RNA is filed under the name uncultured archaeon. RNAcentral describes it as "bacterial SSU rRNA". It matches the Rfam family "Archaeal small subunit ribosomal RNA", at positions 302 to 823 of the family's 1478-position model. The record is from RNAcentral.